AGUUGUGGGAUGAGUCUUAUUGCUUGUGUUCCGAUAUUUCCAUAUUCUCAUGGUGGAAUUUUCGUAUGAUCAGGGUUUCAUAGGAUAUCUGUUUGAAUAUUUCAUGUGCGUGACAUUCCUUCCAUUUUCUCCUUCGGUGUGAAGAAGCAGAAAUUAGAUUCCAGUCAUGUCCUCUUGGAAGAAAGUUUCAAAAACAAACCAACGCACUCACCGUGAAAGACAUCAGCCAGCAAGCCGAGCACAUCUGGGACUUCUUGAGAAAAAGAAAGAUUAUCGCCAAAGAGCGAAAGACCAUAAUGAAAAGCAAAGAACAUUGAAACUUUUAAAGAGACGCGCUUUAAACCGUAAUCCUGAUGAAUUCUACUUCCAUAUGAUUAAUUCUAGAGUAGAGGAUGGUGAACAUAAAGAGUUAGACAAAGAUGAUGAACAUACUCCUGAUCAGAUACAUCUCAUGCAGAGUCAAGACCUACGAUAUGUUUCAACAAAACGUACAAUGGAAUCAAGAAAGAUUAAUCGUCUUCAGUCAUAUUUACACUUAUUAGAUGCAGCUAAUCAGGUCAAGAAUAAGCAUAUAUUCUUUGUGGACACUGAAAAGGAAGCAAAACAGUUUGAUUUAACCAAACAACUUGAUACCCAUCCGGCCCUCUUGAAACGACGUAUCAAUCGACUUCGAACAAAUGCUCUCAAGAAUUUGACUUUACCCAAGGUGGAUGAAGUUGUCAUAGAAAAAUUGGCAGCAGAGAGGGACAAAGCGUACAUGGAAUUGCAGAAGAGAAUUGAGCGGGAAAGAGAAUUGACAAUUAUUCAACAAAAACUAGAGAUAAAAAGACAUCUUCUAAAUAAGAAAGAAAGUACACCAAAGAGAAUAAAGCCAAGCACCAAGGAUGCUCCACCAGUUUAUAUGUGGAAAUAUGAAAGGAAACGAUAAACAUUUUUAACAGUUUUAAUUGCAGUUGAAUAUUCUUAUAUUCUUUCAAGUUAAAAGCACAUAACUACCAGCUACACAUAUACAUACCACUGCAAUAGAAACCAGGAAGGCCAUUAAAAUAGCAAGGCACCUAUAGCACCGUCCAUCAUCAGCCACAUCAACCUCACUGAUCAACAAGAAAUUUCUGUUAAAAACACCCAUACAAACACAUCCAUCAAACCGCACACAAUGACCACUCCUGUACAUCAGUAUUAUAUACAGAAAACCACAUAUAACCUCAUCUUGCAUUUUGAAAGAUUUUAACAUUGUAAUACCAAAAUAUAGCACAUAUCUCGGUAUGAAAAAUUGGCCCAUUUUAUAGCAGUUCAUUUUAACAUUUACUCACAGUUAAGUGACCUUGUAAUUAUUGAUUUAUUUUGAAUCCCUGUAGUGAUGGUUCAUUAACAUCAAAACAUAGUGGUGCAGCAUAACCACAGUAAAUCCUGCCACUGCUGUCUGUUUUAUUUUAUUGUAAAGUCAUUGCUGUGUAAUGGUUCAUGUACAUUGUGAUAUAAGUACUUUUUGUAAAACAGGUGUUUGUAUUAUAGAUUAUAAGAAAUUUGGAAAUUUAGAGCGAUACCUGGCAUAACAACUGUGGCAUGUUCCCUCUGUUAUCACCUCUAGAUUUCAUUUUGUGAAUGCUAACAUGAUGCUUUCUUAAUAACUAGUGUAAAACAGAGUAUACAAAUAG
Cryptotermes secundus is the source of this 1658-nucleotide RNA transcript. It is a transcript of the gene named probable U3 small nucleolar RNA-associated protein 11, with no coding region annotated. Lineage: Eukaryota; Metazoa; Arthropoda; Insecta; Blattodea; Kalotermitidae. The record is from RefSeq and is a predicted model, not a curated record. The transcript has 3 exons.